This is an RNA transcript of Zingiber officinale, 1893 nucleotides long. It is a transcript of the gene named paired amphipathic helix protein Sin3-like 4, with no coding region annotated. The record is from RefSeq and is a predicted model, not a curated record. Lineage: Eukaryota; Viridiplantae; Streptophyta; Magnoliopsida; Zingiberales; Zingiberaceae. The transcript is spliced from 3 exons.
AUCAGCGGUAAACGACCUAUAUCCUUUUUUUUUUUUUUUGUCUGCUGGUGUCUCUUUCGCCUCGCUUUUCUAUUUUUCAGUUCGCUUCCGUCUCCUUCGCACGCUUCUUUUUCCUUCGGCUAUCUGUUAGAGAUGAAGCUUGGGUUUACGAGAGAAUCAAGUUUAGUUUUGUAUUUCAACUCAUUAUUGUCAAGAUGGAAGCCAAUCACAUUUGAAGAAUCUCUCCACUUUGUGAAGAAAGUAAAGGUGAAUUGGCUAAUGAUUAUUUUCCCCUUCUGGGUUCAAAUGACUCAAAUUUAGCACAUUAUAAUGUCCUUUUUGUGAGUGUUAAUUUUUUGAAAAAUUGUGAAACGCCUAGCAAUGACCUUUAUGUGAAUAAAGGAAACUUACGCCGAAUUAAAAUUGAUGAAAAAGCAUGCUCUGAAUGAUCUUUCUCUUACAAAACUCCUGUGAGCUGUGAUACUGCUAGUCAUCAACCAAUUUCAAGCACGUCAGUAUCAUAGCUUAAGUGUUGGUGAAGUAGAAUGAUUUGGAAUACAAUUCAUCUUAUUAAUCUUAGAUUUGAUCCUGAUAGGCUAUGUUAGUUCCUUGAAUUUUCCUUAUAUUGUGCCAAGGUAAAGAUGUUGAAGGGGAGCCUUGGCGCAACGAGAAGUUGCUGCCUGUGUUACUUAAUGGUCACGGGUUUAAGUCGCAGAAAUAAUAUUUUGCAAUGCAGGAUAAGACUAUAUAUAAUAGACCUAAUACAAUCUGACUCUUCCCUGAGACCUGCAUUGGGAGGAAUUUCGGGCAACCGAUUGCCCUUUUUUGCGCCAAGGUAGAGAUGUUAAGGAUAAUAUUUUAGAAAAAUUGACAAAAUUUUAUCCCAGUAAAGAGUACCAAAUUUCAACUAAAAGUACAUUUUGGCAUGAUUAGUACUCUUAGCUGUAGUGGGCCUUGUGGCAACUGUACAAAUUAUUAGAAGGAUUGAAAUUAGUUUGGGCAUUGUCUAUCAUUUUGUCUCACUAUGAAUUAUUGUUCUCAAAGCACUAUUUCGUGCACAACUAUCAUGGUUUUAUUAUAUUAUUGUCUUUUGCCCUAAAUUGUCUUUUUUACCAUAAUAAAAGGAUACUAUUAGAACUUUAUUGGUUUUUUUCCGCAUUCAGUUUUUAAUGAAGAAUGGGAGUAAGUAACAGACCGUGCUUUGCAGCUAGGGAAAUAACUUUCCUACCUUUCUUCGGCCACAGCUCACCUUUUUUUUCUCCCUUUGUAACGAAAUACUCUGACAUUCUCUAACCAAUUAGUAAUACUAAUACUUUGCAAUAUAUGAAUUUCAACUAAAAGCAUAAUGUUAUUGGUUUGGAAAAUCCAAACAUUGAUGAAAAUCCAAACUUAAAGGAUUGAUUAUACAAGCGUUCAUUUAGAUGCAUAAAAAAAAAGUUGGAAUAGGGUUUGGCAACACGCUACGUUUCGUCACUGUGAAGAUGAAUGCAUAGUAGACAUUCGGCCAAGGGUUUAGUAGCCAGCCAUUUCAUGUGUCAUAAUUUGCUUAUAAUCAGUGUUUGCAUCAGGCUCGUGAUUUUCACAUGUACAUGGCAUUGUUUGAAAUUCUCAGCCAGAAGGACCAGAUGCCUUCAGAAACCUACCAUGAUCUAUUGUUGCUCUUUGAGAGUCAUGAUGAUCUUCUCAAGGAAUUGAUGCGAUUCAAACCUCAUAAUUUCGAAGGAACGAUUAGCCAACACAAUUCAUCCAGAAUGUCUCUUUUUCUUGUGCCAUUGUUUAUCUUGAGUUUGAUUAUGAUGUUUGAGCAACCUAUGAGCUAUUUUAUUCAACAAGCUUUCAGAACAUAACCCAACUUCUCAAGGGUUAGUAUAAUGUGCACAUACCAUUCUCCUUAUGGAAUAAAUAUAUAUUUCU